This 242-nucleotide unclassified non-coding RNA is filed under the name uncultured Russula. Its description in RNAcentral is "sequence contains ITS2". The record is from RNAcentral. Lineage: Eukaryota; Fungi; Basidiomycota; Agaricomycetes; Russulales; Russulaceae.
AAUUCUCAAAACCCUUUCUUUUUAAGGAUUUUGGACUUGGAGGCUUUUUUGCUGGCUUCACAUUGAAGCGAGCUCCUCUUAAAUGGAUUAGUGGGGUCUGCUUUGCCGAUCCUUGACGUGAUAAGAUGCUUCUACGUCUCGGGUUUGGCAUCGUGUACCUGCUUCUAACCGUCUCAUCGACAAUGAUGGCGCUCCGGUCACCACCGUUUCAUCGGUGGGAGGCUUGACCCACAAAAAUAAAA